GUAAUCUCAUCAUAUGGUUCCAUGGUUGUUGUCAUCGAUGGUCAUCAAAUUUGAAAUCCGCUUACCUGCGGAUAGAUUUCCGCCAUGAACUGGGUUUCAUUUGCUUGAGAUUUGAAUCUUCCGAUUGUUGAAGCCUUUGAAGCCGAUCCUUUUAAAUUUCCAGUUCCCAAGGUAUUAUCUGUUUGUAACAGCAGUGGUUCAGCAUCUACAGUGGAUUCAACAUCUACAGUGGAUUCAACAUCAGGUGUUUGCUAUUAUUGUUUGAUGUUGUUUGCUAUUGUUGUUUGAUGUUGUUUGCUAUUAUUGUUUGAUGUUGUUUGCUAUUGUUGUCAAGUAAGGUAAAAAUGGCCAUUCUAAUUACCUGAAUAUUGCGUAUGAUAUCCUUUUAAUUUUAA
This is a long non-coding RNA of Helianthus annuus (common sunflower), 395 nucleotides long. RefSeq lists it as uncharacterized. NCBI's taxonomy places the organism in Eukaryota, Viridiplantae, Streptophyta, Magnoliopsida, Asterales, Asteraceae. The transcript has 2 exons. The record is from RefSeq and is a predicted model, not a curated record.